Molecule: ribosomal RNA, 253 nt
Filed under: uncultured prokaryote
Description: partial 16S ribosomal RNA
Rfam family: Bacterial small subunit ribosomal RNA
Source: RNAcentral
AAGACGAACCGUGCGAACGUUGUUCGGAAUCACUGGGCUUAAAGGGCGCGUAGGCGGGCCGGACGGUCCGGGGUGAAAUCCCCCCGCUCAACGGGGGAACGGCCUCGGAUACCGCCGGCCUGGAGGGGGGUAGGGGCGAGCGGAACGCUGGGUGGAGCGGUGAAAUGCGUUGAUAUCCAGCGGAACUCCGGUGGCGAAGGCGGCUCGCUGGACCCUCACUGACGCUGAGGCGCGAAAGCCAGGGGAGCGAACG